Molecule: non-coding RNA, 30 nt
Filed under: Rattus norvegicus (Norway rat)
Lineage: Eukaryota; Metazoa; Chordata; Mammalia; Rodentia; Muridae
Source: RNAcentral
UGCUUUGGUACUGAGAUGAAUAAAACAAAG